GGAAAUAAAACAACUCCAGGGCAAGGAGCUUCCGGUUCAAGCCCGCCUCUCCUCCCCACCCUGAUCCCCCAGUGUUGCCGGACUAUCCUUGCCCCAUGCCCGAGUCCCGUUUCGGCAAACCGAGAGGGUUUGUCGUGACCCUCGGCCUUGAACGUUCAUGCCGAGUGCACUUGGAGACACGUGUGAGGACAGAGCUGUAAGCAGCCUCCCUGUGCCUCUGCAUUUGGCCUGCUGAUUCUGCCCGUCUUCACAUCUCGUCUCCCUUCCAGGCCUUCAGGACGGGAAAAUACCACCACCACCACCCACACCGUGAAGGAUUUCAGCGCAGUGUUCACCUUCGAACCACUUUGGGUCAAGGGAGAAAACCCGAGAAGCAGGCCUGAGUGCCCACCCAGUGUUCCCACUGAGGACGAAGCGGGGGUCCCUAUCCACACUGCUGGGAUGGAUCCACUGGUGCAGCAAGCAGCCAUGGAGAGCAAACAUCAGGGUCCCGAAACCCUCCAAACCAGCACAACCUAAUACCAAGCACUGAUUCGAAAAGUUACAAAUGCUGUAUUUAUAAGAAAAAAGAAAGCAACAUGGACUAAGGUUUAAUUUUGUAGUUAGUUAUUAAAUAAAAGUAGCUUUUGAAUUGAU
RNAcentral lists this long non-coding RNA (636 nucleotides) under Fukomys damarensis (Damara mole-rat). RNAcentral's name for it is "lncRNA (ENSFDAG00000030841.1)". Lineage: Eukaryota; Metazoa; Chordata; Mammalia; Rodentia; Bathyergidae. The record is from RNAcentral.